RNAcentral lists this transfer RNA (70 nucleotides) under Marmota monax (woodchuck). RNAcentral describes it as "tRNA.Thr". Lineage: Eukaryota; Metazoa; Chordata; Mammalia; Rodentia; Sciuridae. The record is from RNAcentral.
GGUGGAGCUCAGAGGUAGAGCACCUGCCUAGUAUAUGCUAGCUAGGUCCUAGGUUCAAUCCCCAGCACCA